RNAcentral lists this non-coding RNA (182 nucleotides) under Nevskia sp. RNAcentral describes it as "6S RNA". It matches the Rfam family "6S / SsrS RNA". Rfam says of the family: E. coli 6S RNA was the first non coding RNA to be sequenced, but its function was unknown until recently. It consists of 184 nucleotides that fold into an extended hairpin structure with a large single-stranded internal bulge. The 6S RNA specifically associates with RNA polymerase holoenzyme containing the sigma70 specificity factor. The record is from RNAcentral. Lineage: Bacteria; Pseudomonadati; Pseudomonadota; Gammaproteobacteria; Nevskiales; Nevskiaceae.
UGUCUCCUGCGGUGUUCGACAUUCGACAGGAACCCUUGAGCCUAAUUGCAAUGCAAAGGGAACCUCAACAGCGUAGGGAGUGCAGGCCCGCCCCGCAGCGGGAAGCCCAAAUACGUUGUCCGGUGCCCACUUGAGACGUCGUCUCAAGGUCGAAGUCUGAUGACGGCACAGGCGGGAGACAC